This 253-nucleotide ribosomal RNA is filed under the name uncultured bacterium. Its description in RNAcentral is "partial 16S ribosomal RNA". It matches the Rfam family "Bacterial small subunit ribosomal RNA", at positions 524 to 776 of the family's 1533-position model. The record is from RNAcentral.
UACGUAGGGUGCGAGCGUUAAUCGGAAUUACUGGGCGUAAAGGGUGCGCAGGCGGUUCUGCAAGUCAGGCGUGAAAGCCCCGGGCUUAACCUGGGAAUGGCGCUUGAAACUACAGGACUGGAGUAUGGCAGAGGGAGGUGGAAUUCCACGUGUAGCGGUGAAAUGCGUAGAGAUGUGGAGGAACACCGAUGCCGAAGGCAGCCUCCUGGGCCAAUACUGACGCUCAUGCACGAAAGCGUGGGGAGCAAACAGG